Molecule: ribosomal RNA, 497 nt
Filed under: uncultured bacterium
Lineage: Bacteria
Description: partial 16S ribosomal RNA
Rfam family: Bacterial small subunit ribosomal RNA
Source: RNAcentral
GAUGAACGCUGGCGGCGUGCCUAAUACAUGCAAGUCGAGCGAACGGACGAGAAGCUUGCUUCUCUGAUGUUAGCGGCGGACGGGUGAGUAACAUGUGGAUAACCUACCUAUAAGACUGGGAUAACUUCGGGAAACCGGAGCUAAUACCGGAUAAUAUUUUGAACCGUAUGGUUCAAAAGUAAAAUACGGUCUUGCUGUCACUUAUAGAUGGAUCCGCGCUGCAUUAGCUAGUUGGUAAGGUAACGGCUUACCAAGGCAACGAUGCAUAGCCGACCUGAGAGGGUGAUCGGCCACACUGGAACUGAGACACGGUCCAGACUCCUACGGGAGGCAGCAGUAGGGAAUCUUCCGCAAUGGGCGAAAGCCUGACGGAGCAACGCCGCGUGAGUGAUGAAGGUCUUCGGAUCGUAAAACUCUGUUAUUAGGGAAAAACAUAUGUGUAAGGAACUGUGCACAUCUUGACGGUACCUAAUCAGAAAGCCACGGCUAACUACGUG